UUCUGGCCUAGGCAGUAUGGCUCUGAAGUCUCCAAUCACUACCACUGUGCUAUGCUGCCUUUCAAGAAAAAGACCCAGGAUUCACAUCAUCAGGAGAGGGGCUAUUCCCAGGCAGCCUGGCAAACUUUUGAGAAGUCAGAUGAAUGCUGGGCCCUCUUCAGAUACAAGGGAGAGCAGAUGUCUUCCUAGAGUGGUACGCAAACUAAUUGAUCUACUUCCUCAGUC
This 225-nucleotide long non-coding RNA is filed under the name Mustela putorius furo (domestic ferret). RNAcentral describes it as "lncRNA (ENSMPUG00000024415.1)". Lineage: Eukaryota; Metazoa; Chordata; Mammalia; Carnivora; Mustelidae. The record is from RNAcentral.